UACAGAGGGUGCAAGCGUUAAUCGGAAUUACUGGGCGUAAAGCGUGCGUAGACGGUCAUGUAAGUCGGGUGUGAAAGCCCCGGGCUCAACCUGGGAAUUGCAUUCGAGACUGCAUGGCUAGGAUGCGGAAGAGGGAAGCGGAAUUUCCGGUGUAGCGGUGAAAUGCGUAGAUAUCGGAAGGAACACCAGUGGCGAAGGCGACUACCUGGCCUGUUCUUGACGCUGAGGCGCGGAAGCUAGGGGAGCAAACGGG
Molecule: ribosomal RNA, 253 nt
Filed under: uncultured bacterium
Lineage: Bacteria
Description: partial 16S ribosomal RNA
Rfam family: Bacterial small subunit ribosomal RNA
Source: RNAcentral